This 2089-nucleotide long non-coding RNA is filed under the name Marmota monax (woodchuck). The record is from RNAcentral. Lineage: Eukaryota; Metazoa; Chordata; Mammalia; Rodentia; Sciuridae.
CCGGCAGCAGAGCCGCGCUGGGAGCGCCUCCCACCAGCAUUUAUGGGGUGGGAAGCUGAGGUGGUGCCCGGGCUUUGCGUCUGGCGCCCGGCCGAGUCCUUCAUGGAGUGCAGAUGGGCAGAGAGGGGGCAGGAGGCGGCGCACCCCGAGGGCAGGUGGCUCCGGGCACUGGCAUCGGGCUCGGGGACGCACUUGGGGUGAGCAGCUGGUGGAGAGGGCGGGCGGUGCUUGGCUUGGGUGCUGGCGUGCGCCCGAGGCCAAGGGUGAACUGCCGCAGUGAGUAGAGGGGCCACCAGACGGGCCGUGGGUGGCCGGGAUGAAGGCAGGUUGCAGGAGGAGCGGGCACCCUCAGGCUGUAGGUGGCCCUGGGUGCGCUGUGGGGACCAGCGUGCCACAGCCUCGUUUGUGCAGACACCCUGGGAGGCAGGGUCCGCUCCUCUGCUCCCACAGGGCCUCGCUGUCACUUCAAGCCAGACCCCAGAGGUGCCACCAGUGGCCGUCAGCUGUGGAGCCACCCCUGUCCCCUGUGGGGCUUGCACCCCCCACCAGCCCCGGGCUCCACCUCCAGCAUCAGGUGCACCAACCCUCAGUGGCCUUUGACACCUUCCCCAGAGUCAGGGGUGUCCUGGGGGCCGGCCCCAGAGAGACGCAGAGAACUGCACCUUCCCGUUCUCAAGGAGCUGGGGGUCGGCCCCGGCAGAGGGAGCUGUGCCCUGGGGGGCUUCCUGGAGGAGGUGACAUUGUGCUAAGAGCUGACAGGAUGCUCGGCAGAACACCCAGGGGACAGUACCCCAGGUCACACGGCAAGGGCCCCAGGACCACAAGGACCUGCCCCCAUCUAGAAGCAGCAGAUGGCCCAAGUGGCAGGACAGAGGGAUGGCAAGAAAGGAGAAGGGACCAAUCAGGCCAGACAGUCACUGCAGGCUCCUCGUACUGCAGGGCCCAGGGCGGACCCCCAGGCUCAGAAGGGCCCAUCUGCUGGGCAGGGGACAAUGGGAAGGGAGCUGCAGACCAGGCCGAGGGCAGUAGAGAAGGAAGGUGUGACAGACCCCAGGCCUCCGGUGAGUGUCACCAGAACCACCUUCUGAAGAAGCACCCUAAGGAUGGACAGGGAGGGGGUCAGGGGAGAUUUGCAGUCUGCAGCCUGAUUCUCACCAAGUUGGAGGAGUUUUGGAGACACAGACCCGCCAUGAGAGGUCGUGAAAGUCAAGGUCACCACGUUCAGGUCCCCAGACGGAGCCAGGCUUCCUCCCAGAGCAGACCAGCCCCGCUCAGGGGACGAGAGCAAGAUCCAGAGAUGCUGCGGCCUCACCCACAGUGUCCCAUGCCCAAUCGACAAUCACCGGACACACACACCAAGAGACAAGAAAAUGUGACUCAAGGUCAAGGUGGACAGGGAAAAACGGCAACAGAAGCCAGCGCUUAUCAACGUGUCCCAAACGUCACAGAAAAACAAGCGGAAGAAUUAAUGGAAAAUAUGGUCUUCAUUAGGGAACAGACAGGACACACGCAGAGAUGGGAGUCCCGCAGAGAACCAGGUGGGGAUUCAGAACAGGGAAGAAGGGCGGAAAUGAGGGAUGCCGUGGCUGGGACCCUGUGCUCCGUCUGAAGGGCUCCUGUGCCCGUAGGGUGCCCUUAGGAGAUCCACCGAGGGACAGUAACGCACGGAGUGGGAAAUGUGGGUCUGAAAUCAGGAAGAAGCUGGGAGAGGAGGGUCACCCAGUGCCUCACUCCGUCAGGAGGAGGACCAGCCAGCCACCCAAGCAGCAGAGCAGUCCAGGGGCCCUUCGGGGAAGUCCCUGUGGCCAGCACCCCUCCUGGCCACCUCUCAGAGGGCUCUGUGCCUCACGCUGAGCCUCCGCCAAGCUUGGCCCUCGGGAUCCCCACUCAUCACCCCACCUCAAGGAGCAGAGGGCGUGGCAUGCUCCCUGCUUUGGUGAAAUCGCUGUGGGUUCGGCUCCUUGCUGGGCACCAGGAAGACAAGUCCUCCCACCGCCUCACUCUCGAGAAGGUGCCUGUGGUCUUGCAUGACGUUGGGACCAGCCCCCACGGACGCUCUCUGCCCCUGGGCUCUGGAAUCUGAGAAGAG